GAAAAAGAAAAUAGAGGAACUUGAGCAUGAGAGGAACAUGUUGAGCAAAGAGCUUGAGAGUGAAAAGGCAGCUCGAGAAGAGGCGUGGGCCAAGGUUUCUGCUCUUGAACUAGAGAUAAGUGCUGCUAUGCGGGAUCUUGAUUUUGAGAGGCGCAGACUGAAAGGUGCUAGAGAAAGAAUAAUGCUACGGGAAACACAACUUCGGGCUUUCUAUUCUACUACCGAGGAGAUCUCAGUUUUGUUUGCA
Molecule: unclassified non-coding RNA, 247 nt
Filed under: Hevea brasiliensis (rubber tree)
Lineage: Eukaryota; Viridiplantae; Streptophyta; Magnoliopsida; Malpighiales; Euphorbiaceae
Source: RNAcentral